This is a long non-coding RNA of Pollicipes pollicipes, 250 nucleotides long. RefSeq lists it as uncharacterized. The record is from RefSeq and is a predicted model, not a curated record. Lineage: Eukaryota; Metazoa; Arthropoda; Thecostraca; Pollicipedomorpha; Pollicipedidae. The transcript has 3 exons.
CCCCCUGGCCGCCGAUGCGCUGGCAGCAGUUGUGCUGAACGAGCAGUUCAUCGAGUGCGUCACAGACCUGGAGCAGCUGCCCCAGCAGCCGACGGUCAGUGCGCAGCCCGGUGACGUGGUCGUGGCCCUGGAGGAGGGCAGUCCGUCCCGGGCGCUGGUCUGCGCCGCCGGCCCCAGCGGUUACAGACUGCUGUUCGUCGACUCCGGCACGCUGGGGGUGGCGGCGGCGGCGCCGGUGCGUCCACUGCCC